ACUUUUCAGGGGCUGAGUAAAUAUAGGUCUGGUUGCAGUUAUUUCAGUGGGAGUCACAUGGUGAUAAUGAAAUCUGAUCUGUUUUGAGUCCUAGCUGAUCUAAGGAGAUACAAGCAUGAGGAAACCAAGACUUGCAAGAGGGGAAGGGACUUGUUCAGGGUCACCCUGCGGGUGAGCCACAGAGCUCAGAGCCAGCCGAAGGGAAGUGUGUGUCAUCUGAAUGCACUACUGCAGGGGUGGGUCUGUGCACACAUUUCCUCUAUUGUGCGUUGUAUUUCUAGAAAUGUAUGGAAGGUUAAUGAAUGAAGGGACUUAAUGGGGAUUAUCUGAAACUUACAUUUUUAGAAAAUUCUAAGUGUUCAAAGCUUUAAUUAAUACUUGAUAUAUAUAUAUACAUAUAUGUGUGUGUGUGUGUGUGUAUAUGAAGAAGAAGAGAGGGAGAAAAAAGGAGGAGGAGGGGGAGUUCCCAUCGUGGCACAGAGGAAAUGAAUCCGACUAGGAACCAUGAGGGUGCGGGUUCGAUCCCUGGCCUCGCUCAGUGGGUUAAGGAUCUGGCGUUGCCGUGAGCUGUGGUGUAGGUCACAGACGUGGCUCGGAUCUGGCAUGGCUGUGGCUGUGGUGUAGACCAGCACUGUAGCUCUGAUUAGACCCCUAGCCUGGGAACCUUCAUGUGCCAGGGGGUGCGGCCCUAAAGGGACCAAAAAAAUUUAAAAAAUUUAAAAAAAAAAAUAAGGAGGAGGGGGAAGGCGAGGAGGUAGAGGAGGAGAGAGACAUUAACUUAGAAAACUUACAAAGAUAUUUUGCUCCCAAAGUUUAUUUUUAAAUUGAUGGCAUUUUCUCUCAGAAACAGGUUUAUAAAGGUGGAUCGAAGGCCCACAUCAGGCUAGAACAACACAUUAGCUGUGCUCCCAGAGUGCCAUAGUGACCUCGAGCCCACACACGGUUGUGUGACAGCAGUGUUUCUGUGAAGAAGUGUGUUGAAGAUUCUGACCGGGAAGGCCAGGGAUCCAUCUCCCCAGGGAACCCCCCCUUCUCCCCACCCCUCCUGCAGGGUAGUGGAGGUGGUCUCUUCCCCACUACCAGGUGUCAAGGGCAUACAUUCCGGACGAGCUACAGACUGCAGUCCACAGGCCAACAGGUUCCUCUACCUGUGGCUGGGUACUGAAGCUGGGCUGAGGCCAGGGCCUUUCUGUUCUUCCUUGGCUGUUCUUUCCAUCUGCCAUGGCACCCUUCAGCUGACAUGCCAUGGCCAUCAGGACAAAGCAAAGCCUGCCUCUCCUCAACACUUAUCUUUUUAACAUAGGUAACAUUUUUAAUAAAAUAUAACUGUGAUACAAAGCAAAAUUGAAAGGGUGAGCUUGUUUUAUAUCAUCAUAUAUUAAAAAUAUAUAACUGAGUAUUUCAGGUUCAGGUCUUUAUUGUUUAGUUUAAUAGAGGACUCAUAGAUUCUCAUAUCUGCUUCUGCUCUGAAUCUGUUGUGAGAGAGUUCCCCUUGUGGCUCAGUGGUAACAAACACGACUAGUAUCCAUGAGGGCGCUCCUGCGAAAAUACAUGUUUUAGUGUCUGGAAAUUUAAAAGACUGAGAUUGAAAAAGGCAAGUAAUAUGUUAUGAAAAUAGUUUUGAUCAUACCAACUCCUGAAAGUUAGCACUUUUUGUUUGCUUUGUAGGGCCACUCCCGCGGCAUAUGGAGGUUCCCAGGCUAGG
Molecule: long non-coding RNA, 1705 nt
Filed under: Sus scrofa (pig)
Lineage: Eukaryota; Metazoa; Chordata; Mammalia; Artiodactyla; Suidae
Description: lncRNA (ENSSSCG00045018961.1)
Source: RNAcentral